GACCCCUUAGCUCAGUGGUAGAGUGUGUGAUUCCAGCUUCUAGACUUCUAUCUACUAGAGCUUCCACAAAGUCAUCCGUUCAAAUCGGGUAGGGGUCA
Termitomyces sp. T159_Od127 is the source of this 98-nucleotide non-coding RNA. Lineage: Eukaryota; Fungi; Basidiomycota; Agaricomycetes; Agaricales; Lyophyllaceae. The record is from the annotation of a GenBank genome assembly.